GACGAACGCUGGCGGCGCGCCUAACACAUGCAAGUCGAACGAGAGAUGAGGAGCUUGCUCUUCAAAUCGAGUGGCGAACGGGUGAGUAACGCGUGAGGAACCUGCCUCAAAGAGGGGGACAACAGUUGGAAACGACUGCUAAUACCGCAUAAGCCCACGGCUCGGCAUCGAGCAGAGGGAAAAGGAGCAAUCCGCUUUGAGAUGGCCUCGCGUCCGAUUAGCUAGUUGGUGAGGUAACGGCCCACCAAGGCGACGAUCGGUAGCCGGACUGAGAGGUUGAACGGCCACAUUGGGACUGAGACACGGCCCAGACUCCUACGGGAGGCAGCAGUGGGGAAUAUUGCACAAUGGGGGAAACCCUGAUGCAGCGACGCCGCGUGGAGGAAGAAGGUCUUCGGAUUGUAAACUCCUGUUGUUGAGGAAGAUAAUGACGGUACUCAACAAGGAAGUGACGGCUAACUACGUGCCAGCAGCCGCGGUAAAACGUAGGUCACAAGCGUUGUCCGGAAUUACUGGGUGUAAAGGGAGCGCAGGCGGGAGAACAAGUUGGAAGUGAAAUCCAUGGGCUCAACCCAUGAACUGCUUUCAAAACUGUUUUUCUUGAGUAGUGCAGAGGUAGGCGGAAUUCCCGGUGUAGCGGUGGAAUGCGUAGAUAUCGGGAGGAACACCAGUGGCGAAGGCGGCCUACUGGGCACCAACUGACGCUGAGGCUCGAAAGUGUGGGUAGCAAACAGGAUUAGAUACCCUGGUAGUCCACACCGUAAACGAUGAUUACUAGGUGUUGGAGGAUUGACCCCUUCAGUGCCGCAGUUAACACAAUUAGUAAUCCACCUGGGGAGUACGACCGCAAGGUUGAAACUCAAAGGAAUUGACGGGGGCCCGCACAAGCAGUGGAGUAUGUGGUUUAAUUCGACGCAACGCGAAGAACCUUACCAAGUCUUGACAUCCCUUGACGAUGCUGGAAACAGUAUUUCUCUUCGGAGCAAGGAGACAGGUGGUGCAUGGUUGUCGUCAGCUCGUGUCGUGAGAUGUUGGGUUAAGUCCCGCAACGAGCGCAACCCUUAUGGUCAGUUACUACGCAAGAGGACUCUGGCCAGACUGCCGUUGACAAAACGGAGGAAGGUGGGGAUGACGUCAAAUCAUCAUGCCCUUUAUGACUUGGGCUACACACGUACUACAAUGGCGUUAAACAAAGAGAAGCAAGACCGCGAGGUGGAGCAAAACUCAGAAACAACGUCCCAGUUCGGACUGCAGGCUGCAACUCGCCUGCACGAAGUCGGAAUUGCUAGUAAUCGUGGAUCAGCAUGCCACGGUGAAUACGUUCCCGGGCCUU
RNAcentral lists this ribosomal RNA (1333 nucleotides) under uncultured bacterium. RNAcentral describes it as "bacterial SSU rRNA". It matches the Rfam family "Bacterial small subunit ribosomal RNA", at positions 28 to 1382 of the family's 1533-position model. The record is from RNAcentral.